This 316-nucleotide unclassified non-coding RNA is filed under the name plant metagenome. Its description in RNAcentral is "partial contains 5.8S ribosomal RNA, internal transcribed spacer 2, and large subunit ribosomal RNA". The stretch from base 1 to 105 matches the Rfam family "5.8S ribosomal RNA", at positions 50 to 154 of the family's 154-position model. The record is from RNAcentral.
GAAAUGCGAUAACUAGUGUGAAUUGCAGAAUUCCGUGAAUCAUCGAGUCUUUGAACGCACAUUGCGCCCCCUGGUAUUCCGGGGGGCAUGCCUGUCCGAGCGUCAUUGCUGCCCAUCAAGCACGGCUUGUGUGUUGGGUCGUCGUCCCCUCUCCGGGGGGGACGGGCCCCAAAGGCAGCGGCGGCACCGCGUCCGAUCCUCGAGCGUAUGGGGCUUUGUCACCCGCUCUGUAGGCCUGGCCGGCGCUUUCCGAACGCAAAUCAAUCUUUUUCCAGGUUGACCUCGGAUCAGGUAGGGAUACCCGCUGAACUUAAGC